CCUGGCGUCAGGAUGAACGCUGGCGGCGUGCCUAACACAUGCAAGUCGAGCGGGAAUCUGUUGAUUGAAACUUCGGUCGAAAGAAGCAGAGGAUAGCGGCGGACGGGUGAGUAACGCGUAGGUAACCUGCCCCUUACACAGGGAUAGCCUCGGGAAACUGGGAUUAAUACCUGAUAAUGCGGUGAAGUCACAUGGCUCCAUCGCCAAAGAUUUAUCGGUGAGGGAUGGACCUGCGUCUGAUUAGCUUGUGGUGAGGUAACGGCCCACCAAGGCAACGAUCAGUAGCCGACCUGAGAGGGUAAUCGGCCACAUUGGAACUGAGACACGGUCCAAACUCCUACGGGAGGCAGCAGUGGGGAAUAUUGCACAAUGGGCGCAAGCCUGAUGCAGCAACGCCGCGUGAGCGAAGAAGGUCUUCGGAUCGUAAAGCUCUGUCCUCAGGAACGAAGAAGUGACGGUACCUGAGGAGGAAGCCCCGGCUAACUACGUGCC
Molecule: ribosomal RNA, 492 nt
Filed under: uncultured organism
Description: SSU rRNA
Rfam family: Bacterial small subunit ribosomal RNA
Source: RNAcentral